Camelus dromedarius (Arabian camel) is the source of this 1613-nucleotide long non-coding RNA. RefSeq lists it as uncharacterized. The transcript is spliced from 4 exons. NCBI's taxonomy places the organism in Eukaryota, Metazoa, Chordata, Mammalia, Artiodactyla, Camelidae. The record is from RefSeq and is a predicted model, not a curated record.
AGUUUAAUUAGGUCCCAUUUGUUUAUUUUUGCUCUUAUCGACAUCUCUUGGAUCUGGGCCAACUUUUGUGAUUUGUUUUGGCCAGCAGAAUGCUCUAGAAGAAUAAUGUACCAGCCUAAAGAGGCUUUGUGUGCUUCUGCCCAGCAGCCACAUGAACAAGCCCUGGUGCCCUCGGGAGGAUGGGAAGCCGAGUGGAGCAGAGGUGGCUCCUCCCACCGGGGCCCCAGCUGACCUGCCAACUGACCACCCAGGCCCAGCUGAAAUCAGCCACACCUGCCCAGACGGUGACGAUUUCAUGCAUAUGUGGUCGAAGUGAAGCUGCUUUCCCUUCUUCCAAAGCUGGUCAUCGCAGGCAAGCAGUGUCGUGACAGGCUGGGGCACGGGCAUCUGCAGCAUCCGUCAUCAGUAGGGAGGCUGGAGUGCUUGAGUCCCUGGCUUAUCAAAAGGAUAACAUAGGCAAGUCAGAAACCAGCCAGGCUCUGCCAGGAUGUGUGUUCUUAUCAAGAUGGUCUGUUGUCAUAAUUCAGUGCUGUAAACAAAGGCUUCCUCAAUGCUCCCAGAAUCAGAGGACAUGCGAGAGAGGAGACUCGAGGAGGAAUCAUCUAGUUUGGUGUACCACACACUGCACGAUUGCUGUCUGCAAGGAGAAGUGUCUGCAAGGUCUCCAUCUCAUCGCUGGAGUUGCCAGCUACCCCCACCGUCUUCCCUUCCUCUUCAGAACUCCAGCUAUGCCCAGAAGUGCCCCCAGAGACACCCAUUUGAAUUACAGUUCUUGACUGUUCUGUCCCAAGGGCACUGGAUUUCGGAAACCAGGGCGGAAAUGUUUUGGACGACCACAGCCAUGGCUCGGUUUAUAUGGCUCGGCGAGAUCAGUUGAGGGGCAGUGUCUCCGGACCCCGCUUUCCUGGGCUGUCGGUCCCCUGACCUGCAGCCUCUCGGCCCUGCAGUCUGUGCAGCUGGGGGAAGAAGAGGGGAAAAGCGCAGGAGAAGUGCUCGCUCAGCCUCGUCCGCCGUGGGAAGGCGCUGCUCCUCGCCGGGCGCCGCCCUCUUCUCUGUCUUGCCGCUGCACGGGUCCCCUCCGCACCACAGGGCACAUCCGGCUGGCGGUGGCUGCUCAGCCACUUUGUCCCCUUGCCAGGCGUCCCUUCGUCGCCCUUUCCCAGGUCGUCCCAGGGCGCUUUCCCUCCAGAAGCCCCUUGGACGCAGGUGAGACAGUUCGCACAGAGGUUGGGAGCUGGAGCGCCCUGAAACACAUCUGCAAACGCGGAAAAUUUCCCUUUUGUGUACUCCCUACACAUUUGACAGGAAUUAACGUUUCCCCCAGGGGGGAGCCAGUUUCACAUAUUGAAACCAAACUUUUUUCCUCCUUGGUUUUGCUCCCUCCCUUGCUCAGUCUCGGGUUCAAAAGGAACGAUUUCCUCGGAAAUCAAACCACUUGUGCUGGAGGGAGCGCAGCGGGAAGCAGGCGGUGAGGACGCCCGGGUUCAGUCGGGGGGCUGUGGCCCGGGUUCAGCCCACCGUCCUGAGAGCUGCAGGCCUGUCACCACGCAUAUCCCGCCCUGGCGCCCGGGCCGGCGAGAGGGAGAGCCUGUUUUCCCUGGAAAAAUAAUAAA